RNAcentral lists this ribosomal RNA (492 nucleotides) under uncultured bacterium. RNAcentral describes it as "partial 16S ribosomal RNA". It matches the Rfam family "Bacterial small subunit ribosomal RNA", at positions 29 to 507 of the family's 1533-position model. The record is from RNAcentral.
AGUGAACGCUGGCGGUAGGCCUAACACAUGCAAGUCGAACGGCAGCACAGUAAGAUCUUGCUCUUACUGGUGGCGAGUGGCGGACGGGUGAGGAAUACAUCGGAAUCUACUUUUUCGUGGGGGAUAACGUAGGGAAACUUACGCUAAUACCUCAUACGACCUACGGGUGAAAGCAGGGGAUCUUCGGACCUUGCGCGAUUGAAUGAGCCGAUUUCGGAUUAGCUAGUUGGCGGGGUAAAGGCCCACCAAGGCGACGAUCCGUAGCUGGUCUGAGAGGAUGAUCAGCCACACUGGAACUGAGACACGGUCCAGACUCCUACGGGAGGCAGCAGUGGGGAAUAUUGGACAAUGGGCGCAAGCCUGAUCCAGCCAUACCGCGUGGGUGAAGAAGGCCUUCGGGUUGUAAAGCCCUUUUGUUGGGAAAGAAAAGCAGCAGGUUAAUACCCCGCUGUUCUGACGGUACCCAAAGAAUAAGCACCGGCUAACUUCGUG